UACCAGCUCUCCGAGUGGUAGGGAUGUUUAUUGGGCUUAAAGCGUCCGUAGCCGGCUUAGCAAGUCUCCUGUUAAAUUCAGCGACCUAAUCGUUGAGCCGCGGGAGAUACUAUUAGGCUAGGAGGCGGGAGAGGUCAACGGUACUUCCGGGGUAGGGGUGAAAUCCUAUAAUCCCGGGAGGACCACCAGUGGCGAAGGCUGUUGACUAGAACGCGCUCGACGGUGAGGGACGAAAGCUGGGGGAGCGAACCGGAUUAGAUACCCGGGUAGUCCCAGCUGUAAACGAUGCGAGCUAGGUGUUGGGGUGGCUACGUGCCACUUCAGUGCCGCAGGGAAGCCAUUAAGCUCGCCGCCUGGGGAGUACGGCCGCAAGGCUGAAACUUAAAGGAAUUGGCGGGGAGCACCACAAGGCGUGAAGCUUGCGGUUC
This 428-nucleotide ribosomal RNA is filed under the name uncultured archaeon. RNAcentral describes it as "bacterial SSU rRNA". It matches the Rfam family "Archaeal small subunit ribosomal RNA", at positions 474 to 903 of the family's 1478-position model. The record is from RNAcentral.